ACAUAAAUGCCAAGACACUGAUUGUAAAGGAGAAAAUACAAAAUGUGUGGAGGCUGGCAGCGAUUUCACUUGUGAGUGUAAGGAAGGUUUCGUACCAAAAGACAAUAGUAAAAAAGGACAAAAAGAUGCCGUAUGCAUUGCUGGAAAACAUGAAUGCAAAGACACUGACUGUAAAGGAGAAAAUACAAAAUGUGUAGAGGCUGGCAGCGAUUUUACUUGUGAGUGUAAGGAUGGUUUCUUACCAAAAGAUCUUAGUAAAAAAGGACAAAAAGAUGCCGCAUGCAUUGCAAAACAUAAAUGCAAAGACACUGACUGUAAAGGAGAAAAUACAAAAUGUGUAGAGGCUGGCAGCGAUUUCACUUGUGAGUGUAAGGAUGGUUUCGUACCAAAAGAUCUUGGUAAAAAAGGACAAAAAGAUGCCGUAUGCAUUG
Parasteatoda tepidariorum (common house spider) is the source of this 431-nucleotide non-coding RNA. NCBI's taxonomy places the organism in Eukaryota, Metazoa, Arthropoda, Arachnida, Araneae, Theridiidae. The record is from RefSeq and is a predicted model, not a curated record.